Molecule: long non-coding RNA, 2801 nt
Organism: Homo sapiens (human)
Lineage: Eukaryota; Metazoa; Chordata; Mammalia; Primates; Hominidae
Gene: MIR100HG
Product: mir-100-let-7a-2-mir-125b-1 cluster host gene
Source: Ensembl
GAAUUACUCUUGGAGUAGCAAUUGCUGGAUGUGCCUCUUUUGUUGAGGUGAUUGGAUCUUUUGGCAAAAACCAGUGACUGCAAAGGAUGAGAGAAACGAUCAGAAAAACUGAAAAGCUGUAGGAGACCAAACACUAGUGUCUCCCCUGCUUCAGGGGACACCCACUGUCAGAGUGAACGACAAAGACGCGCGUGGAUGAUUUGAAGAUAUUAGCCUAACAAGAUGGAAGCAGGUUUAAAAUUUUACAUAAGAAGUUACCUUUUUCAGCUGGUCCUAUAGUACCCCUCCUCAGGAAUGUCUCCCCAGUGCAAGGACAAAGACUGAAGAGACUGCUAUAUUGAUGGACUCUCAAGCCAACUAUGAAGUUGAAACAAAGAAAGUGAUCACCUGAAGACACCUCCUCUGCUAAGAAACACCCCCAAAUUGUGCAGCUUCUGCCACUAGAACUCUCAGAACAAGAGACAAUCUUUUCAAGAAACAGAAAAACUCAAUAAUGACAUCUAGAUUUUCAUGAGCCAAGAACUUUCCCUUCCUCAUGUGUAUUCCUCUGUUUGUACUUAAAUUCAUGUGACAUUCAUUUUUUUCCUAGUAUGGAUAUGCUUAUUAAUGCACUUGUUUCAAAAUCCCAAAUUGCACAAAUGUGUUAAUAUUUUAAGAAACAAAAUGAAUCCUACAAGGAGAAUGAUUUUUAGCCACACAUAGGGUUGGAUCUUGAGAGUGACCUACAGAAUAAAAGUACUUUUAAAAUAAAGUAGUCAGAGGCUAUUCAAAGGGUAAAAUAAUCAUAGUACCACAUUGGUCCACUUGACACUAACCAAUCGAUCAUUUUUUUUUAAUCAAGAAAGCUAGAUUCUAUCAGAUAAAAUCACUGCUUCUAAAGAGUUUAAAUCUAGUUAGAAAAAGUUAUAGAAAUGUUUGCAAAGAUAAGUAACAGAUAGAGUCAGUAGAGGAUAAGAUCAAAAACAAAACCAAGCAAAAGAUGAGUUCAGGGGAGUUUGCCAUCAAGUUGGCAAAACUGACUUACUUAGGGAAGAAAGUUAUAAAACAGGAAAAUAUGAGAUGAACCUUGAGUGAUGUGGAAGAUUUAGAUAAAUGGAAAGGAAGGAGAAAAUGGAGUUCUUUAGGUGGUUGUAAUUGGAGGAGGAAAUGAAUACACACAUCUUGUUGACUUAAACCCAGACAUUCAGCAGCUCUCUAUACAUAUCUGGAAAAGACUGCACAGUCACCUCCUGUCUCUCACCCCAGGUAUUACUUAGAAUUAUUAUCAUAUUUCCCUUCCUUUAAAGUAAGUAAGGGUGAUUGGUGACAAUAUGGAGAACUAUGAUUUUUCCAUUAACCUAAUAAUAAUUGGUAUUUAUUGAGUUCUGUUAAGCAUUUUACAUAUUAACUCACUUAAGCCUUUCAACAGCCUUGCAAAAUAGGUAUUAUUAUCCCCAUUUUACAGGCAAGAAAACUGAGGUUUAAGUAACUUGCCGAAGUGCCAUAUACAGGGCUCACAUUCAGUAUUGCAGUUGCAAAGCUCAUGAUCUAUAGUGCCAAGUUGCAAUAUUGUAGUCAAUGUCACAAUUAUUACCCCUUUUUAUAUUCCUUGAUAUUUUUCCAUGGCAAACAAUUAGCUAUUUCAUUUAAUAAUCACCUAAAACUUUUCAGUCUUCUGAUUAAAAUUACGCUGGAGUGAUAGAAUGUAUUUUCAUGAUAGAAAUUGGGAAAAAAAAUGGGGAAUGAAGUUUAUCAGCAUUUCAGACUUGUUUUUUUUUUUUUUUUUUGCAAGACUUUGAUGAGAUUGUUCACUUUUGUCUAUGUAAAAUCCCAAAUCCUUGAGAAUAAAAAAGGGGGAGGUUUAAGUCACUUGUUGCAAUGCCCUUUUUAAUAGAGGCAAUAAAUCUAAAGGCCAUAAAUUUAGAGUGACUUACAGAAGAUCGAACUUUGGAGUGUGGCAGAGUAAGGGAUGGAAACCGGGCCCUCCAGUUCACUAUCAGUAGCUUUUGCACUGGUCUGCCCUUCCUAAAUUAAGUAUGCACUUCAAUUUGAUGAGUGGAAACAGUCUAUCUGGGCAGUAACCAGGGAGCUUUGUGCCUAGUAGAUUGCUUCUGUUCUGCACUUCUUUGGUUUCCCACCUCAAUGUAAAAAAUAGCUAGCAAUGAAGUCCAGAAGUUGUCAAUGGUUCAUCCCCAGAAGAAUGCAUAAUGUCCAAAGUUGUAUGUGUAUGAUGUCUUCAAUGGUAUUAAGUUAUUUCAAAUUCUUAGUUCACCUACAUAAAUCAUUUCUAACAAGCAUCUUCUUAACCAACUUUAUGCACAGUGUAUGUUUGUAAGUGCUUCUGCACGAAUGUUUAUACAUGACUGUUUCCAUAGUACUUAUGUUUUUAAAAAUAUUCAGUCAUUUCCUACUAUAAUCCUCAUGUAUCCAUGUAACUGACUCAAAAAUACUUCAGCCACAGAAAGCUAAAACUGAGCAAAUCUCAUUCUUCUUUUCCAUCCCCUUUGCAUGUGGCUGGCAUUUAGUAAUGAUUAAUAAUAUGGCCAGCUGAAUAACAGAGGUUUGAGACACAAUUCUUUCUCAAAGGAGUCAGCUAAGCUGGGUCUACUUAUGGACAAACAUCUAAAUGUGUGGAAGUAUCUGAUAUUUGACAAUGGUAAAUUUCCACUUAGCUAGCUAGCAUUGUCAGACUUCAAUCUCCUCAUGGCUCUGGCCGUCCUGUUUUAAGCAUGAUAAUUGUUGGCCACAUCUCACAUAGUUCUCAUUGAGUGAGUUCAUAAAUAAACAGGGUUUUUUUUUUUUUUUAAAGAGCAGCCAAGCAC